Molecule: ribosomal RNA, 189 nt
Filed under: uncultured bacterium
Lineage: Bacteria
Description: partial 16S ribosomal RNA
Rfam family: Bacterial small subunit ribosomal RNA
Source: RNAcentral
CCUACGGGAGGCAGCAGUGAGGAAUAUUGGUCAAUGGGCGGAAGCCUGAACCAGCCAUGCCGCGUGCAGGAAGACGGCCCUACGGGUUGUAAACUGCUUUUGUACCGGAAUAAACCCCCAUUCGUGAAUGGGGCUGAAUGUACGGUAAGAAUAAGGAUCGGCUAACUCUGUGCCAGCAGCCGCGGUAAU